RNAcentral lists this ribosomal RNA (468 nucleotides) under uncultured bacterium. RNAcentral describes it as "partial 16S ribosomal RNA". It matches the Rfam family "Bacterial small subunit ribosomal RNA", at positions 28 to 507 of the family's 1533-position model. The record is from RNAcentral.
GACGAACGCUGGCGGCGUGCUUAACACAUGCAAGUCGAACGGAAAGGCCCUGCUUUUGUGGGGUGCUCGAGUGGCGAACGGGUGAGUAACACGUGAGUAACCUGCCCUUGACUUUGGGAUAACUUCAGGAAACUGGGGCUAAUACCGGAUAGGAGCUCCUGCUGCAUGGUGGGGGUUGGAAAGUUUCGGCGGUUGGGGACGGACUCGCGGCUUAUCAGCUUGUUGGUGGGGUAGUGGCUUACCAAGGCUUUGACGGGUAGCCGGCCUGAGAGGGUGACCGGCCACAUUGGGACUGAGAUACGGCCCAGACUCCUACGGGAGGCAGCAGUGGGGAAUAUUGCACAAGGGGCGGAAGCCUGAUGCAGCAACGCCGCGUGCGGGAUGACGGCCUUCGGGUUGUAAACCGCUUUCGCCUGUGACGAAGCGUGAGUGACGGUAAUGGGUAAAGAAGCACCGGCUAACUACGUG